UUCUUAUAGAAAUAAUUAUAAGUAAGACCUGCUCAAUGAUAUUAAAUAGCUGCAGAAACUGUACUAAGGUAGCAUAAUCAAUAGUUUUUUAAUUGAAAACUUGAAUGAAUGGUUAAAUGAACAACUAGAGGUAUCAUAAAAAUAAAUUGAAAUUAGAUUUUUUGUUAAAAUACAAAAGUAAAUUUUAGGGACAAGAAGACCCUAUAAAGCUUUAAAAUUUUAUUGAGAGAAAAUGAAUUUUUAAAUUGGGGAAAUAGGAUAAGUUUAAGAAAUUUAUUUUUGAUCCAAAAUUUUUGAUUAAAAGAAAAAGUUACUUUAGGGAUAACAGCAUAAUAAUAAAAUUGAAGUACAAAUUUGAUUUUAUGAUUGUGACCUCGAUGUUGGAUUAAUUUUACUGUCAGGAGAAAAAAUUUGAAUAAGUUAGUCUGUUCGACUAUUGAAAAAUUACA
Molecule: ribosomal RNA, 449 nt
Filed under: Brasiliogovea microstylus
Lineage: Eukaryota; Metazoa; Arthropoda; Arachnida; Opiliones; Neogoveidae
Description: partial 16S ribosomal RNA
Source: RNAcentral